GUAGUCCACGCAGUAAACGAUGAAUACUAACUGUUCGGAGGGCGACCUCUGAGUGGUAAAGCGAAAGCGUUAAGUAUUCCACCUGGGGAGUACGCCGGCAACGGUGAAACUCAAAGGAAUUGACGGGGGCCCGCACAAGCGGAGGAACAUGUGGUUUAAUUCGAUGAUACGCGAGGAACCUUACCCGGGCUCAAACGUCGGGCGAAUCAUCCUGAAAGGGAUGAGCCAGCAAUGGCGGCCGACGAGGUGCUGCAUGGUUGUCGUCAGCUCGUGCCGUGAGGUGUCGGCUUAAGUGCCAUAACGAGCGCAACCCCCGCGUCCAGUUGCCAGCGAUUUAAGUCGGGCACUCU
RNAcentral lists this ribosomal RNA (350 nucleotides) under uncultured Muribaculaceae bacterium. RNAcentral's name for it is "bacterial SSU rRNA". It matches the Rfam family "Bacterial small subunit ribosomal RNA", at positions 790 to 1141 of the family's 1533-position model. The record is from RNAcentral. Lineage: Bacteria; Pseudomonadati; Bacteroidota; Bacteroidia; Bacteroidales; Muribaculaceae.